Molecule: ribosomal RNA, 433 nt
Filed under: uncultured bacterium
Lineage: Bacteria
Description: partial 16S ribosomal RNA
Rfam family: Bacterial small subunit ribosomal RNA
Source: RNAcentral
AACGAACGCUGGCGGCAUGCCUAACACAUGCCAGUCGAACGAGACCAUCGGGUCUUGUGGCGCCCGGGUGCGUAACGCGAGGGAACCUGCCCUUAGGUUUGGAAUAACUCUCAGACAGGGGUGAUAAUACCGGACAAUGUCUACGGCCCAAAGAUUUAUUGACUUUGGAUGGGCACGCGUUGGAUUAGCUAGUUGGUAGGGUAAAAGACUACUACGGCGCCGAUCCAUAGCUGGUCUGAGAGGAUGAUCAGCCACACUGGGAGUAAGACACGGCCCAGACUCCUACGGGAGGCAGCAAAGGGGAAUGUUGGACAAUGGGCGAAAGCCUGAUGCUGCUAGGCCGCUUGAGUGAUGUAAGCCUUAGGGUUGUAAAGCUCUUUUACCCGGGAUGAUAAUGACGGUACCGUGAGAGUAAGCUCCGGCUAACUCCGUG